GUUCUUAUCACCUUGGACACAUUUUAUCCAGUUGUUUGUCUAGCUGGUAAUCCCUUGAGGAUUUCCAGCAAAUUUUGGGGAGGGUUCUGAAUUUCUAGUUGCCAUGUGACGAUCUGGCUGUUAAAAGACAGGAUCUCUGGCUGAAAUGCAAGUUCACUUGUGCUUUUGACCAUACCAAGAUCAAUGAAGAUAUGAAGAAUGGGAAUCCAGCUGGAAAUAUGUUUUUAUUUUUAACCCCUACAUAUGAAACAUCGAGCCUACAAUAAGCAAGACUUCCAAUCAAAUCUCUACCGGGAGAACUAUCUGUGAAAGGAAACAAGAGUGUAAAAAAUGGGUUGCAGGUAUGAAGUAUUGUGUCCCAGUGUUGAGGAACAGGACUGAGACAUCAGCUAAAUAAUUUACAUUCAGAAGGACAAGUGUUGUUCUGGACUACCAGGUCCCAAGAUGACCAGCUCACCCGAGUCGCUAACCCUGGCUCUUCCUGGAGCCAUCCAUCUGUACUGUGCUUCUCCUCAAUGUCUUAAGCCUCCCACUGGCUGCGAUUCUGCCUCUCCAUUUAUGGCAAAUGGGCCCAUUCUUUUAUUACCUCAUUAAAAUAUUGAAA
Long non-coding RNA from Fukomys damarensis (Damara mole-rat), 604 nucleotides. RefSeq lists it as uncharacterized. The transcript is spliced from 4 exons. The record is from RefSeq and is a predicted model, not a curated record. NCBI's taxonomy places the organism in Eukaryota, Metazoa, Chordata, Mammalia, Rodentia, Bathyergidae.